This 1496-nucleotide ribosomal RNA is filed under the name uncultured prokaryote. Its description in RNAcentral is "partial 16S ribosomal RNA". It matches the Rfam family "Bacterial small subunit ribosomal RNA". The record is from RNAcentral.
UUAGAGUUUGAUCCUGACUCAGGAUGAACGCUAGCGGCAGGCUUAACACAUGCAAGUCGAGGGGUAACAGGAAUAUUCGGUGAUGAUGGCGACCGGCGCACGGGUGAGUAUCGCGUUUGCAACCUACCCUUAACUGGGGGAUAGCCCGAAGAAAUUCGGAUUAAUACCCCAUUAAAUUUAAGAACGGCAUCGUUUUUUUAUUAAAGCUCUGGCGGUUAAGGAUGGGCAUGCGUGACAUUAGUUUGUUGGUGAGGUAACGGCUCACCAAGACUACGAUGUCUAGGGGUUCUGAGAGGAUGAUCCCCCACACUGGUACUGAGACACGGACCAGACUCCUACGGGAGGCAGCAGUGAGGAAUAUUGGACAAUGGAGGCAACUCUGAUCCAGCCAUCCCGCGUGCAGGAAGACAGCCCUAUGGGUCGUAAACUGCUUUUAUACAGGAAUAAACCCCCUUACGUGUAAGGGGCUGAAGGUACUGUAAGAAUAAGCACCGGCUAACUCCGUGCCAGCAGCCGCGGUAAUACGGAGGGUGCAAGCGUUAUCCGGAUUUAUUGGGUUUAAAGGGUCCGUAGGCGGACUAGUAAGUCAGUGGUGAAAUCCUGCAGCUUAACUGUAGAACUGCCAUUGAAACUGUCAUUCUUGAGUAUAGUUGAGGUGGGCGGAAUGUGUCAUGUAGCGGUGAAAUGCAUAGAGAUGACACAGAACACCGAUUGCGAAGGCAGCUUACUAAAUUGUUACUGACGCUGAGACACGAAAGCGUGGGGAGCGAACAGGAUUAGAUACCCUGGUAGUCCACGCCGUAAACGAUGAUUACUCGUUGUGUGCGAUACAUCGUACGCGACUGAGCGAAAGCAUUAAGUAAUCCACCUGGGGAGUACGUUGGCAACAAUGAAACUCAAAGGAAUUGACGGGGGCCCGCACAAGCGGAGGAACAUGUGGUUUAAUUCGAUGAUACGCGAGGAACCUUACCUGGGCUUAAAUGUAGAACGACGUACCGGGAAACUGGUAUUCCCUUCGGGGCGCACUACAAGGUGCUGCAUGGUUGUCGUCAGCUCGUGCCGUGAGGUGUCGGGUUAAGUCCCAUAACGAGCGCAACCCCUAUCGUUAGUUGCUAGCAGGUCAAGCUGAGGACUCUAACGAGACUGCCACCGUAAGGUGAGAGGAAGGUGGGGAUGACGUCAAAUCAGCACGGCCCUUACGUCCAGGGCUACACACGUGUUACAAUGGCCGAUACAGAGGGCAGCUACCUGGUGACAGGAUGCAAAUCUCGAAAGUCGGUCUCAGUUCGGAUCGGAGUCUGCAACUCGACUCCGUGAAGGUGGAUUCGCUAGUAAUCGCGUAUCAGCAAUGACGCGGUGAAUACGUUCCCGGGCCUUGUACACACCGCCCGUCAAGCCAUGGAAGCUGGGGGUACCUGAAGUCUGUAACCGAAAGGAGCGGCCUAGGGUAAAACCGAUAACAAGGGCUAAGUCGUAACAAGGUAACCAAGGGCGAA